RNAcentral lists this ribosomal RNA (203 nucleotides) under uncultured Comamonas sp. Its description in RNAcentral is "partial 16S ribosomal RNA". It matches the Rfam family "Bacterial small subunit ribosomal RNA", at positions 1131 to 1332 of the family's 1533-position model. The record is from RNAcentral. Lineage: Bacteria; Pseudomonadati; Pseudomonadota; Betaproteobacteria; Burkholderiales; Comamonadaceae.
UUGAGCACUCUAAUGAGACUGCCGCUGACAAACCGNAGGAGGGUGGGGAUGACGUCAAGUCCUCAUGGYCCUUAUAGGUGUGGGUACACACGUCAUACAAUGGCUGGUACAGAGGGUUGCCAACCCGCGAGGGGGAGCUACUCCCAUAAAACCAGUCNUAGUCCGGAUCUCAGCCUGCAACUCGACUGCGUGUAAGUCNGAAU